GAAGCAUGUUUUCCAUGUCUUUCCCAGCCAUAGCUGAUUUAUGCAGUGCUAGAUGAUUUAUUUUUAUCCUCUGUCAUUUUCUCUAGUUGGUGUUUCCAUCGUGUUGAGAUUAGCCGAGUGUUACAGCAGUGAUUCAAAUCUUUGUUAUUUGUAUCCUUUGUAUUGUUUUGUCAGCAUGAUCAUAAUCAUAUACAUGCAUAUUCAUGCAUAAAACACAACAUCAGAUAUUUUAUUAUGCAUUUUAUCGCAUUUGAUUU
RNAcentral lists this long non-coding RNA (257 nucleotides) under Lathyrus oleraceus (garden pea). RNAcentral's name for it is "Pisum sativum (pea) long non-coding RNA (PSAT_LNC005501)". Lineage: Eukaryota; Viridiplantae; Streptophyta; Magnoliopsida; Fabales; Fabaceae. The record is from RNAcentral.